Molecule: long non-coding RNA, 2259 nt
Organism: Triticum aestivum (bread wheat)
Lineage: Eukaryota; Viridiplantae; Streptophyta; Magnoliopsida; Poales; Poaceae
Exons: 3
Source: RefSeq, a predicted model, not a curated record
UCACAUUUUUCCGUUCGGCGCUCUCAGAUCCAAAUUCCCCAAACCUAAUCCUCCCACGCACUCCCUCCGCCGCCGGCGCACCAAAUUCCCCAAACCUUAUCCUCUCACUCGCUGCCUCCGCCGCCGGCCAAUAGCCAUCUAGCAGCCCGCACGCCGUCACUGCGGCAGCGAGGUUGCAGCCCUGUCCCCAUCAUCCUCCCGCACCCACACCGCUAGCCCCCAAACAUUUCUAACCCUAGCUUGCGCCCGGUCACCUUCAUCCACCAAGGCCUGGUGGUGGACGCCGUCGUUCAUCUCAGAUCCAGGGGUGAGAGAGACGUGGGUCACCUGGGAGACAGAGCACUCACACCCUCGCUCGUCACCCAGGCGCCGCACCGCCGCCGCCACGCCAUGGGCCUCCUCCGAUCUGCAGUCGCCGGUUCGUUUGAAGGAGGAUCUGGCCGUUGACUGCUGGUGCUUCCCCUCCCCGGGGGUGAGUGUUCUUUUCCCUCUCCUCUCCCUCUCCCCACCUCCCCAAUCAGUGCUGCCGUUAGUUGAUUUGUUUGUCGGGAGCUUGAGCUUGAGCAGAAUGUUAAGAACAGGGGCUCUAUCUGCUAAUGGGUUAGCCCGAAAUGCAGUGUAAGAGCUGGCUACUGCUCGUGUGAUCUCUGGAGAUGAGAGGAUGAGAACUUGAGAGGAACAAGCUUGGUGCUAUGAUUGCAAAAAAAAAAUACUACAGGUGAGAGUUGAGACACACCAUACACAAGCCCUGCAAGCGGGCAGAAAUAGACCUCUUCGUUGACGACUUCUACAAGGAUGAUAUUGACCUAGAGGCUGGAGCUUUGCUACUCUUUCCGGCCAACAAGGUAUCGUUUACUUUUUUCUCUCCCCACAUCCAAUUCUUCCCUGUUCCUAUGCCUCAUGCGUAUUUCUUGCUGUAGGGCAACACACUGCAAGUGUUUGUUAAAUUGUUAGUCUCAGUGCUCCAAUUCUAGCAGAAGGAUUUUUGGUAGGAAGACAUAGCAUCACUCACGGUUGUAUAGAUUUACUGUUGUAUUUCUAUAUUUUUGCAAAAUUAGUUCUGUAAAACUUGCAGAUUAGUUCAGUUCUUAAGUGGUUUUACAGCUGGGCUUUUAUUAACUUACAAGUCUUUCCUCUGUAAUUUCGUGUUCUGUAGAACUUAGUACAAUUUUUGUGGAAUCAAGAUAAAAUACAUAUCUAGCAGUUUGUAUUUGUACAGUCAUGCUUCUAUAAAUUUUAUAGUUGUAUUUUCUCCAUAAAUUUGCUUCGAUAGUUCUGUAGCUUCCAGAGUAGUUGAGAUGUUAAGUGGUUUUACUCCUAGGCUUGUAUACGUCUGCAACCUUUUUUUAUCUGUAAUUUUGGAACAUUUGUUCUGUAAAACUUCAGUUCAGUUUCUGGAAAACAAGAUUAAAUACGUAUCUGUAAAACUUCAGUUCAGUUUCUGGAAACAAGAUUAAAUAUGUAUCUUAUCAGUUUCUAAGUUGCAGGCAUGUUCUACACAUUUUACAGUUGUACUUUGAAUUUGCUUCAGUAGUUCUGUAAAACAUUCAGAAUAGUUCACUUUUGGAAUGAAGAGUUAAUAUGUAUUAAGUGGUUUUGUAAUUUAUCCUUUUCGCUUUUAUAGAUUUCCAGCUGUAUUUUGUUUGUAAUUUUUCUUCAGUAGUUCUGGAAUGAAGUAAUUAAGCUGCUGUUCUAAUUUAUUCUCAGUCUUUUUCUAUAGAUAUUACAGUUGCAUUUUUCUGUAAUUUACAUUUAGACUGAAUUAAGUUGUAUCGGUUUGCAUAUAUAUACUGUUCCGUUGGGUAUAGAUUACUUUUUAAUCUAAUUUUUAGCUUUUUGUAUAUAUGAAUGUUUUCUAUAUAAUACUUAAGUGGUCUUCUGAAUUAUGCAUUAUUUGCUUUCAUAUACUACUGAAAUGAGUUCUGGUUCCAGAUGUGAAGAGAAGAACAAGGGAUCGAACAUAUGUGAAAAUGAUGAAGUGAUUCUGUGAGGAACUUACCAGGUUUUCUCCAUGUUCAGGUGCAAAGGGGCCUCAAGUGCAACGUUCAGGAAGCAAACAGAAGGACUGCACUCACAAUGGACCAUGAAGCUAGUGAUCCACGUCAACUGGAUAUUUUAGCUUUCAUUUUGUACAACUAAGUCUUAUUUUAGAACCUUUUGUGAACAUUAUGUAUGUUGUCUUGGUGGCUAUGUUUAGAACAGAUUGAAGUAUAUGUAUCUGACAACUUUUUAAUGGAAUAAAAAAAUGUUUGGUGUACC